AUAAAGCCUACAUCUCAGAACUUAUUUCCAAGGAGAUAUCUAAUUUGUCUAUUUGUCCUUGAUUCUAUUAUAAACCAUGAGGAUUUGGUGGAGGGUUAGAGAGAGGACUACUUUGAAGGCUACGACAAUCUAAUGCCCAACCGGUUGGAAGUUGAAUAACUGCCUGACCCUGUUCUGCUCACUUGCACUGACUCAAGCAGUCACCUCAAAUACCCUCUGGAGCUGCCAGAGGACGAUUCUCUGCGUUGUUCAAAGUCACCGAGCUGAGAGGGAAGGUGUCAUUGAACCACACACUACAGCAUCUGACUUCAAAGCUUCCUGUCCACAAAUUCCAGCAAGAGGAUCAUCAUCCAUGAAGUUUCAAGAGUGGAAAGUCCUUUAUUCAGAACAGGACAAACAGCCAGAACGUAAGCAAGCUGCCAACCUCGCAUGGAGAUGCAGAGGAAAACUCAGACCUGCAUCUGCCUGAACCAGGCCUACGCUCUCUGCAUGUGGGCACAGGCCUUCCACCUCUCCUGACAUCUGGUCUCUCUCUGCCUCCCUUCCCCUCACUGCUCUGGGUCACCCUCUGCCGGGUUGUCCACGCAGACUGCUGGAAAACAUACUGGC
Molecule: long non-coding RNA, 609 nt
Organism: Bos indicus x Bos taurus (hybrid cattle)
Lineage: Eukaryota; Metazoa; Chordata; Mammalia; Artiodactyla; Bovidae
Source: Ensembl